UACGUAGGGGGCAAGCGUUGUCCGGAAUCAUUGGGCGUAAAGAGCGUGUAGGCGGCCCGAUAAGUCCGCUGUGAAAGUCCAGGGCUCAACCCUGGGAUGCCGGUGGAUACUGUCGGGCUCGAGUCCGGAAGAGGAGUGUGGAAUUCCUGGUGUAGCGGUGAAAUGCGCAGAUAUCGAGAAGAACACUUAGGGCGAAAGCAAGACUCUGGACAAGUGUUGACGCUCAUGCACGAAGGCUAGGGUAGCGAACGGG
RNAcentral lists this ribosomal RNA (253 nucleotides) under uncultured bacterium. RNAcentral describes it as "partial 16S ribosomal RNA". It matches the Rfam family "Bacterial small subunit ribosomal RNA", at positions 524 to 776 of the family's 1533-position model. The record is from RNAcentral.